RNAcentral lists this ribosomal RNA (448 nucleotides) under uncultured bacterium. Its description in RNAcentral is "bacterial SSU rRNA". It matches the Rfam family "Bacterial small subunit ribosomal RNA", at positions 330 to 795 of the family's 1533-position model. The record is from RNAcentral.
CCCAGACUCCUACGGGAGGCAGCAGUGGGGAAUAUUGCACAAUGGGGGAAACCCUGAUGCAGCGACGCCGCGUGAGUGAAGAAGUAUUUCGGUAUGUAAAGCUCUAUCAGCAGGGAAGAAAAUGACGGUACCUGACUAGGAAGCCCCGGCUAACUACGUGCCAGCAGCCGCGGUAAUACGUAGGGGGCAAGCGUUAUCCGGAUUUACUGGGUGUAAAGGGAGCGUAGACGGCAUGGCAAGUCAGAUGUGAAAGCCCGGGGCUCAACCCCGGGACUGCCCUUGGAACUGCAUGGCUGGAGUGCGGGAGGGGCAGGCGGAAUUCCUGGUGUAGCGGUGAAAUGCGUAGAUAUCAGGAGGAACACCGGCGGCGAAGGCGGCCUGCUGGACCGUGACUGACGUUGAGGCUCGAGAGCGUGGGGAGCAAACAGGAUUAGAUACCCCCGUAGCC